Molecule: long non-coding RNA, 391 nt
Filed under: Homo sapiens (human)
Lineage: Eukaryota; Metazoa; Chordata; Mammalia; Primates; Hominidae
Description: long non-coding RNA NONHSAT083680.2
Source: RNAcentral
GCAGCGCAGCCUCUGCAAGGGGAGGCGCGCGAGGCGGCGCGGGAGCGCGCGGAGCGGGUGCGCAGAAGACUGGAGGAGGCGGAGCGCCACAAGGAGUACUUGGAGCAGCACAGCAGGCAGCUGCAGGAGCAGUGGGAGGAGCUGUCGAGUCAGCUCUUCUACUACGGAGGGGAACUGCAGAGCCAGAAGAGCACGGAGCAGCAACUCGCAGCCCAAUUGGUGACGCUGCAGAAUGAACUGGAGCUGGCGGAGACCAAAUGCGCCUUGCAGGAGGAGAAGCUGCAGCAGGACGCGCUGCAGACAGCGGAGGCCUGGGCCAUAUUCCAGGAGCAGACCGUAGUCCUGCAGGAGGUGCAGGUGAAGGUGAUGGAGGCUGCGGAGGAGCUGGACG